Molecule: ribosomal RNA, 506 nt
Filed under: uncultured bacterium
Lineage: Bacteria
Description: partial 16S ribosomal RNA
Rfam family: Bacterial small subunit ribosomal RNA
Source: RNAcentral
AGUGAACGCUGGCGGUAGGCCUAACACAUGCAAGUCGAACGGCAGCACAGGAGAGCUUGCUCUCUGGGUGGCGAGUGGCGGACGGGUGAGGAAUACAUCGGAAUCUACUCUGUCGUGGGGGAUAACGUAGGGAAACUUACGCUAAUACCGCAUACGACCUACGGGUGAAAGCAGGGGACCUUCGGGCCUUGCGCGAUUGAAUGAGCCGAUGUCGGAUUAGCUAGUUGGCGGGGUAAAGGCCCACCAAGGCGACGAUCCGUAGCUGGUCGGAGAGGAGGAGCAGCCACAGUUGAACUGGGACACGGUCCAGGCUCCUACGGGAGGGAGCAGUAGGGAAUGUUGGUCAAUGGGCGCAGGCCUGAUCCUGCCAUACCGCGUGGGUGAAGAAGUCCUUCGGGUUGUAAAGCCCAUUUGUUGGGAAAGAAAUCCAGCUGGCUAAUACCCGGUUGGGAUGACGGUACCCAAAGAAUAAGCACCGGCUAACUUCGUGCCAGCCGCCGCGGUAA